This is a non-coding RNA of Oryza meridionalis, 196 nucleotides long. The record is from Rfam. Lineage: Eukaryota; Viridiplantae; Streptophyta; Magnoliopsida; Poales; Poaceae.
CUUAAUUAUAACUGUGUCCAAUGUUUGACUGUCCGUCUUAUAUGAAUUUUUCUUAUAAUUAGUAUUUAGUAACAAUAAUCUACUAUUUUGUACUAAUUAUGAAAUACGCACACUUGUAUUUUUAAUUCUUUUCAUAUUUUUUCAAAUAAGACGGACGGUCAAACGUUGGACACGGAAAUCCAGGGUUUGUCUUUUG